Molecule: long non-coding RNA, 1562 nt
Organism: Girardinichthys multiradiatus
Lineage: Eukaryota; Metazoa; Chordata; Actinopteri; Cyprinodontiformes; Goodeidae
Exons: 4
Source: RefSeq, a predicted model, not a curated record
CUCUCAAGCCCCUGUACUUAUCCACCCGGAUGCCAGCAAGCAGUUUGUCGUGGAGGUGGAUGCCACGGACACGGGAGUAGGAGCGGUGCUGUCCAAGCGCUCGGACCUGGAUGGGAAGCUCCACCCCUGUGCCUUCUUCUCCCGUCGCCUGUCUGCAGCUGAAGAGAACUACGACGUGGGUGACAGAGAACUGCUGGCUAUCAAGUUGGCACUGGAGGAGUGGCGCCAUUGGCUGGAGGGUGCCGAACAUCCCGUGCAGACCCGGAUCUAAGAAUACUAAACCUGACGCACUCUCGUGCCAGUUCGUCCAUGAUGACCCGGAAAGUGAGGUAGUUCCUAUCCUACCUCCCUCCUGCACGGUCGGUGCUUUAACCUGGGAGAGAGAGAGUGAGCGGCGAACCCUUUCUAAUGACCCGGGGCCAGGUAACAUACCAGCAGGUCGCCUCUAUGUUCCUGCUGCCUGCGACCCCACCUGAUUGGUUGGUUCCACUCUGCCAAAUUCACCACCCAUCCUGGUGCCAGCCGAACCAUCGCCUCGAUCGCUAGGAGGUACUGGUGGCUCACCCUGCAUCGAGACGUGAGGGACUACAUCAGUGCUUGUGUGCCCUGCGCCAGAAAUAAGACCAACCAGCCUCUUACAACCCUUCAGUAUCCCUCCACGGCCCUGGUCCCACAUCGCCAUUGACUUCGUGACCGGCCUGCCAUGUUCCCGUGGCAUGACUACCAUUUUCACCAUUAUAGAUGGUGGUGUCAGGAUCUGUACUUCCAGAGCAUGCAGUUAACCAGUUUCCCCACCAAGUGCCGCGGAAGCCCUGGAGGUCUGGAGGCUGACAGGAGGUUAUCUGGUCAUCAGCCACUGUGCGAUAAAAGGGAGGACUGCCAGCACUUCAGCGGCUGACUGUUUUGCCCCUGUGGUGCUACCUGACAUAGUCACUGGCUUUGUUGAAAUGAUCUUGGAAUCCCACGGACCCUGAACCUCUCUGGACAUCAUACCUGGCUGGCAGUCCGAACCGAUCAGCACUCUGCUCAAGUUGCGAACCCUGUCCACCCCACCAUGAAGUACCAUCUCCAGGCUCCUCUAAGCUUCCGCGGGCACCGUUUCCAGAUCAAUUUUCAGUCCUGACACGUCCUCUCCCUGGCGGAUCCCGGCUUCUAAUCAACCUGCCCUGUUAUGGUGUUUUCCGGCCCUCGCUCCAGCAUUUCAAUAAAUUUAUUUAACUGUUCUCUGUUCCGAGUGUUCUCUGCAUGUGGGUCAAGUCAGGCGGUAAAAACUAUGACAACUUCACAAUGAUAUGCUAUGUAGUGUUGGUCUAGCUCUUAAAAUCCCAAAUAAAUAUGUUGAAUUUUGUGUUAGUGAGGUGACAAAAUGUAAGAUAUUUCAAGAACUCUAAAUAGAUUUGCAAAAUAUUGUAAUUUAAUUAAUUCAAGUGCUUUUUGAUCACCUGAUAUAUCAAGGAGAAAUUACUUCAUUAAAAUGCUCCAGACCAGAGAAACACAGUAUUGCUUUAUUGUAUGUUUGAGAAAUGUAUGAAAUGGCUAAUAAAUUAAUGGUUAAUAAAAAA